GCAAAUAUAGUUUAACAAAAACAUUAGAUUGUAAAUCUAAAUUUAAGAGUUUAAAUCUCCUUGUAUGCC
RNAcentral lists this transfer RNA (69 nucleotides) under Sarcophilus harrisii (Tasmanian devil). It matches the Rfam family "tRNA". From Rfam's summary of the family: Transfer RNA (tRNA) molecules are approximately 80 nucleotides in length. The record is from Rfam by way of RNAcentral. Lineage: Eukaryota; Metazoa; Chordata; Mammalia; Dasyuromorphia; Dasyuridae.